CCUACGGGUGGCAGCAGUGGGGAAUAUUGGGCAAUGGAGGCAACUCUGACCCAGCAACGCCGCGUGAAUGAUGAAGGUCUUCGGAUUGUAAAGCUCUGUGAUUGGGGAUGAACACCAUGACGGUAGCCCAAUAGCACGCCACGUCUAACUACGUGCCAGCAGCCCCGGCAUUACGUGGGUGGCAAGCGUACCCGGAAUCACUGGGCGUAAAGGGUGCGUAGGUGGUUUAGUAAGUUUGGGGGGGAAUUCCGGGGCUCAACCUCGGCACUACAGCCAAUACUAGUAGUCUAGAGUACAGGUGGGGUAAGUGGAAUUCGUGGUGUAGCGGUGGAAUGCGUAGAUAUUAGGAGGAACCCCGAUGGCGAAGGCAGCUUACUAAACUGUGACUGACAUUGAUGCUCGAAAGCGUGGGUAGCAAACAGGAUUAGAUACCCGGGUAGUC
This 442-nucleotide ribosomal RNA is filed under the name uncultured bacterium. Its description in RNAcentral is "partial 16S ribosomal RNA". It matches the Rfam family "Bacterial small subunit ribosomal RNA", at positions 338 to 795 of the family's 1533-position model. The record is from RNAcentral.